Molecule: ribosomal RNA, 490 nt
Filed under: Mesocestoides sp. 'Vulpes vulpes' YW-2021
Lineage: Eukaryota; Metazoa; Platyhelminthes; Cestoda; Cyclophyllidea; Mesocestoididae
Description: partial large subunit ribosomal RNA
Rfam family: Archaeal large subunit ribosomal RNA (bases 341-490)
Source: RNAcentral
UUAGAUCGAAAUUUUUUGAUUUCCAAUAAAGUUGUUUUGGGUUAUAUUAAUAUUGAGUAGAUAUUUUUAAACUUUGUUUGCGUUGUGAUAAAUAAAUCGUUAAAAUUUAUAUCUAUUUAAUGGUUAAAAUAUAGUUUAACUUCUUUGGUUUUGAUAUCAUAGAGGUGAAUAUACUAUGUGUUGUUGAAUAUUUUAUGAAUAGGUUAAAAUUACCUAAUUUUUGUGAAAAUGUUAAAAUUUUUAUUAGAGUUUGUGUAGUAGUUAUUUUUAUUUACCAUUUUUAAAAUAGUUUGUGAAAAUUUAUGAUUAAAUAAGUAUUAUUAAUAUUUUGAUUAUUUCUCAAGAAUUGUCCGUCUGUUUAUUAAAAACAUUUCCAUUUUGUAAGUUUAGAUGGUAGUACCUGCCCAGUGUUUGUAUAAAUGGCCGCAGUAUAUUGACUGUGCGAAGGUAGCAUAAUUAAUUGCCUUAUAAUUGAAGGCUUGUUUGAAUG